This 2912-nucleotide unclassified non-coding RNA is filed under the name Leishmania donovani. RNAcentral describes it as "gene:LdHU3.29.3580(CDS-product:ubiquitin_hydrolas e_putative)". The record is from RNAcentral. Lineage: Eukaryota; Euglenozoa; Kinetoplastea; Trypanosomatida; Trypanosomatidae.
CUAAAUCCUUUUACAUUUCUGUCUGUGCUCAUCCACGUCUUCGCGUCUUUGUGUGUUACCAGCGGCGCUCCUGGCUCGCACGCGCACGAUGCCGUUCCCUGUGACGCAGGAGGCGUGUCCUCACGCGUGGAGUGACUCUGCCAUAGUGACCCCGUUCCCCGGAAAGACAGUGCACCGUGACGAGUGUGCGUACUGCUGCCGGACAUGCCGUCAAGGCGACGGAGUCUAUGUAUGUAUGGCAUGCCACACAGGUCUGUGCUGCGAGCACCUGGAGAAGCACAUGAGGGUGCACGGGGCGCACGCCAUAUACACAACCGUCAAGAAACUCCCCGCAAAGGAAACGGAUGAGGUGAAGGAUGUGAAUUACCUUGGUGUAGUGGCCCCCGCGGAGUAUGAGACGGCGGUGUGCUGCGCGGAUUGCCAGGUGCGGUUUGCGCAAGUACCGGACCUGGCUGUCGAGGCGUACAGCGGCAUCAUCAACGCGCCGGAACCAGGCGCGCAGGAUAGCGCAGCUGAUGGCGGUGUGGGCCGCCUGCAGAAGCCGCAAUGCCCUCAUCUGGUGUGCCUCGAACAGCUGGCGAGCCCCUUUGCUGUUUGUCCGCCCACUUCCGACGACAUCUGCUCCGUGGAGAUGUGCGGAUGCAACGUGAACAACUGGAUGUGCGUCACGUGCGGUGCAAUCGGUUGCCCUCGUCCCGAAGCAGGCGGCCAGGGCCAUGCACUACAGCACUAUGAGCUGACAGGACACCCUGCGUGUGUCAAGCUUGGCACCAUCACCGCGGAGGGCGCCGACUACUAUUGCUACGCCUGCGACGAUGACGUUGAUGACGUACACUUCGCAGCCCACAUGGCACACUUUGGCAUUGACGUACAAACUGCCAAGAAGACUGCCAAGACGAUGGGCGAGCUCGAGUACGACUACUCCUCGCAGUUUGACUUCAACAAGAUCACGGAGGCCGGCGUGUCCUUGACGCCAUCCUACGGUCCAGGCCACACUGGCAUCGAGAAUAUUGGCAACAGCUGCUACCUCGCAUCCGUUGUGCAGUGCCUUAUGUCGCUGGGCCCGUUCCAGCGCUUCUUCUUUCCGGCCAAGUCGACCCCGCAUCAGGCACAGUGCACCGCGAAUCCGUACAACUGCCACCACUGCCAGACGGAGCGCGUGGCGGCCGGCUUGCUCUCCGGUGAGUUCAGCCGGGAAGGCCACGAGCUCACCAACGGCAUCUGCCCCCGCCUCUUCAAGAAGGUGUACGCCCACCAGCACCCUGAGUUCUCCACUGGCGCCCAGCAGGAUGCUCAGGAGUACCUGCUCUACCUGCUGGAAGAGAUGCAGCGGCACGUGCACCUCAACAGCAGCGGCAGCACCAGUGCCGACAAUGUGCAGCAGCAGAUUCACCCGUCUGAUAUCAUGGAGAUGGUGAUUGAGCAGCGUAUGCAGUGCAGCAAGUGCCAGCGAGUGCGCUACACGUAUGAGACGGACAAAUGCCUGUCCUUGCCGAUCCCGAUCGAUCCGGUGCCGGCCUCGUCUGUUGCAGCUGCUGCAAGCGAGGCGGAGAUGGACGCGAUACGGCCUCGGUGCUCGCUGGAGGACUGCCUGCAAGCAGCCACCUCGCCGAGCGGCAUCGAGUGCCGGUGCGAGGCAUGCCUUGAAUCGGCCGUGUACUACACCGUCACCCGCCUCGCCAGCUUCCCAGAUGUUCUGCCAGUGUACAUUCGCCGCACGUACUUCGACAUGACUACCCACAACACAAAGAAAAUGGAUGCAUAUGUGGAGGUGCCGCAGAAGCUCGUUCUGGAGGCUUACCGCGGCACUGGGCUGCAGCCGGGUGAGGUGCUGAUGCCUGCUUCGUCGGCCUCCUCUGCACGACAGCCUAGGCUAGAUGCCCACGUGGUCGCUCCGCAGCAGGAAGUAGAUGAGGUGGCACUGGUGUCGGUGGUUAGCAUGGGGAUCGAGAUGGACGUCGCGCGCUACGCCCUCUUACAGACGAACAUGAACGUUGAGCGCGCCAUCGACUACAUAUUCAGCCAUCCGCACAUCGCUGACGAGAUCAAGGCCGCGCCACCGCUGCACGCCGAGGAGCAGGAGCAGCAUUUGGCGCCAACCCAAAGCGCUACUUCAGUGAGCGCUCCAAAACCGGCUACCGAUGGGGCCGCCUCAUACGAGCUCACAGCGAUGAUCAGUCACAUGGGCGCGAGUGCACGGACGGGGCAUUACGUUUGCCACAUCAAGGAUGCCGCGACGGGCAAGUGGCUCCUAUUCAAUGAUGAAAAGGUGGGUGAGUCGCAGAACCCGCCCUUCUCCCUGGCGUCGCUGUACUUUUUCCAACGCCAGGCCUAAAAAAAUUUGACUCUCACGUCCUUCUCUUUUGCCUGCUCGACGAGUACAAUCCUCCAUGGGAACGUGCGUGGGUGACAUUAAUCUUCCCGAGUGUUGCGUCGGCGCGUGUGUGUGUGUGUGCACGGCAAGAGAGCUUGUUCCCAGACAUCGCGCGAUGCUCUCGAUUACAGCCUCCCCGCUGUCACUCUGUGUCGCUGCUCCUCCCUUUCGUCCAUCAUGUGGUGCUUCGUGCCUCUCACGUUUCUUGUUGUUUUCCUUCUGUUUUGGUGCAUUUUCUCUAAUUGUUGUGGCUUCGUUUUCGUCGUCUGCGCCUCCGCGCGUUUUCCAGGCUCAGCAGAGAGUCUCCGCCAUCUAUUGUCUCCCUUCUUUCCCCUUCAUCGGGGGAAGAAAAUGACAUCCAUAUCUUCGUCACUAGCAGAGCCACCGAAAACGCGCUAGCGUCGGCAGAGAUGACUCGGGAGAACAGGCGCGGACUCAGCGCCAGAGCCGAUGAGUUUCGCGAGUGACGCCGCCACCUCUUUUGCGCCUCUCUCACCUCUAUUUGUACUGAAGUAUCUACCUCCGGUGUGAAGACCAC